GAUCAUGGCUCAGAUUGAACGCUGGCGGCAGGCCUAACACAUGCAAGUCGAGCGGAAACGAGUUAUCUGAACCUUCGGGGGACGAUAACGGCGUCGAGCGGCGGACGGGUGAGUAAUGCCUAGGAAAUUGCCCUGAUGUGGGGGAUAACCAUUGGAAACGAUGGCUAAUACCGCAUGAUGCCUACGGGCCAAAGAGGGGGACCUUCGGGCCUCUCGCGUCAGGAUAUGCCUAGGUGGGAUUAGCUAGUUGGUGAGGUAAGGGCUCACCAAGGCGACGAUCCCUAGCUGGUCUGAGAGGAUGAUCAGCCACACUGGAACUGAGACACGGUCCAGACUCCUACGGGAGGCAGCAGUGGGGAAUAUUGCACAAUGGGCGCAAGCCUGAUGCAGCCAUGCCGCGUGUGUGAAGAAGGCCUUCGGGUUGUAAAGCACUUUCAGUCGUGAGGAAGGUGGUGUAGUUAAUAGCUGCAUUAUUUGACGUUAGCGACAGAAGAAGCACCGGCUAACUCCGUGCCAGCAGCCGCGGUAAUACGGAGGGUGCGAGCGUUAAUCGGAAUUACUGGGCGUAAAGCGCAUGCAGGUGGUUUGUUAAGUCAGAUGUGAAAGCCCGGGGCUCAACCUCGGAAUAGCAUUUGAAACUGGCAGACUAGAGUACUGUAGAGGGGGGUAGAAUUUCAGGUGUAGCGGUGAAAUGCGUAGAGAUCUGAAGGAAUACCGGUGGCGAAGGCGGCCCCCUGGACAGAUACUGACACUCAGAUGCGAAAGCGUGGGGAGCAAACAGGAUUAGAUACCCUGGUAGUCCACGCCGUAAACGAUGUCUACUUGGAGGUUGUGGCCUUGAGCCGUGGCUUUCGGAGCUAACGCGUUAAGUAGACCGCCUGGGGAGUACGGUCGCAAGAUUAAAACUCAAAUGAAUUGACGGGGGCCCGCACAAGCGGUGGAGCAUGUGGUUUAAUUCGAUGCAACGCGAAGAACCUUACCUACUCUUGACAUCCAGAGAACUUUCCAGAGAUGGAUUGGUGCCUUCGGGAACUCUGAGACAGGUGCUGCAUGGCUGUCGUCAGCUCGUGUUGUGAAAUGUUGGGUUAAGUCCCGCAACGAGCGCAACCCUUAUCCUUGUUUGCCAGCGAGUAAUGUCGGGAACUCCAGGGAGACUGCCGGUGAUAAACCGGAGGAAGGUGGGGACGACGUCAAGUCAUCAUGGCCCUUACGAGUAGGGCUACACACGUGCUACAAUGGCGCAUACAGAGGGCGGCCAACUUGCGAAAGUGAGCGAAUCCCAAAAAGUGCGUCGUAGUCCGGAUUGGAGUCUGCAACUCGACUCCAUGAAGUCGGAAUCGCUAGUAAUCGUGGAUCAGAAUGCCACGGUGAAUACGUUCCCGGGCCUUGUACACACCGCCCGUCACACCAUGGGAGUGGGCUGCAAAAGAAGUAGGUAGUUUAACCUUCGGGGGGACGCUUACCACUUUGUGGUUCAUGACUGGGGUGAAGUCGUAACAAGGUAGCGCUAGGGGAACCUGGCGCUGGAUCACCUCCUUA
RNAcentral lists this ribosomal RNA (1539 nucleotides) under Vibrio sp. D415a. RNAcentral describes it as "bacterial SSU rRNA". It matches the Rfam family "Bacterial small subunit ribosomal RNA". Lineage: Bacteria; Pseudomonadati; Pseudomonadota; Gammaproteobacteria; Vibrionales; Vibrionaceae. The record is from RNAcentral.